GGACUACCAGGGUAUCUAAUCCCGUUCGCUCCCCACGCUUUCGUGCCUCAGUGUCAGAUCUAGCCCAGUCACCUGUCUUCACCAUCGGCGUUCCUGACGAUAUCUACGCAUUUCACCGCUCCACCGUCAGUUCCAGUGACCCCUACUAGCCUCAAGCACGCCAGUAUCCGAAGCAGUUCCUGGGUUGAGCCCAGGGAUUUCACAACGGACUUAACGCGCCACCUACGCACCCUUUAAACCCAGUGAUUCUCAGUAACGCUUGGGGCCUCUGUAUUACCGCGGCUGCUGGCAC
RNAcentral lists this ribosomal RNA (292 nucleotides) under uncultured bacterium. RNAcentral describes it as "partial 16S ribosomal RNA". RNAcentral also lists the same sequence under 1 other name. The record is from RNAcentral.